UGAGCUUCUGGCCUAUGAGAGAUAAGCCUCCAUCCUGGAAUGGCCAGCCAAGCCUGCUGCAGGGCCAAGAGCCAAAAGGCUGCCUGCGGGCCUCUGCUGCACUGCCUCACCAAGGGGCCUAGAGAAUGAAGAAAAGCUAGGACUAGAGAGGUCAACAAAGCAACGUGGGCUCAAGAAUAUGCCAGAUCCUCCCAUGUCACACGUACAGGUGAGCUACGGCGCACCUGUCUGAGGGGUCAUCUGGCAUUUACCAUGAACAUGGUCUGAUGGCUGACUUGGAAUGUGUAGUGACGGGAGCCUUCUCCUCUCUGUACUUCCUGGAUUGGAAUCUCCAUGCUCAGGGCAUCAGAGCCAGACAGGCACACAGCCCUGGUGUUCCCAGUUUCUCCUGUGAGUCCUUCAUAUACAAUCAAGACAAAUACACAGAAUUCUGCUGCCUGCUUGCUGUUCAAGAUGUGAGCUCUUCACUGCUGCUCCAGCCGAGCACCUGUACUGACCAGGGUACUGCCUGAGUGCAUUCUGCCAGGUGACAGGGGCAGGACAGCAUAAUGCCUGAAUCCUUACAACUGGAUGGAAUCCAGGGCCUUCUGCACUGAGGAUCAUACCAAACUGUUUUCCAGACCAAACUGCACUCUAGCACAUGCUCACCUAACUGAUUAUGUAGCCCAGGCUAAACUCAAACUUGCAGUUCUCCUGCCUCAGGCCUCUGGGCUAUCGUAACACUUGUUCAAGUCCGCCUCCCUUCGACACUUCACCAGGUCAAGUUGCCACCAGGGUUUGAGUUCUCUUCUGAACCUCACCUAGCCUGUGUUUUCUUUGAGCUCCAAUACCUGGCCCACCCAGAGUGGUUGACAUCAUGUUAGUAAGACCACACGACAGCUUUUUAUGUUGCAAUUUCCUUCACAAUGCCUAUGCUUUGAAUUCGGCAGCACAGUAGGCCAUGUUGAGGGAGUAACUACAUGGGUUUCCAGUUCUUGCUCUGGGUGGUAAAUGCCAUGUCAGAAUCCUUCAGCUGCACAAUUCCUUGCUUACUAGUCUUUCUGUACUGUCACUGGUAAGAGCAUCCUGGAGCCCUGGAGCCCAGCAGCCCCAAGCUUUGGGGAAGAGAUAUACCUCUAGGGCUACAUGCAUUCUCUGCUCCCUUCUCUCUUGCUGGUGGGUAGAUGUGUUGCUUUCAUUUCUGGUUAACUCUUUCCCAUCCCUGCCUUGGUCCCACACUGCUGUCACACCCACCUGGUUUCUGUGGUGACUCAAGGUUUUGUGGUCGGGUGUGGCUCAGGCUGACUAGAUUCUAUUCCCCUACACACAGUGACUAAGAAUAGAUGUAGAGCCAGGCGAUGGUGUCUCUACCUUUAAUCCUAGGACUCGGGAGGCAGAAGCUGACAGAUCUCUGUGAGUUCAAGGACAGCCAGAACUACAGAGAAAUCUGGUCUGGAAAAACAAACAAACAAACAAAACGAAAGAAAAGGCAAAAUGGAAAGCAUGUAGAAUUCAAACUGAUCAAUGAGACGCCAUUCUGACAUGUUACUGGUAAUGUUAACAAAGAGACUAGAUGACAGAGCUGUGCUUCUCAGGGCUCUGUCACCACUUGGGGAGACCCUGGCUAAGAAUGAGGCCAAAAUAAAGGAAAAGUAAUGUGUCUCUCCCUGAGGCCAAUGACUGGGCACCUAAAUGCAUUCUGACUCAGUUAUAUCAGGGCAUGGAUUCCCUUUGGGUCUAGUUAGUUUGAUUUCAAUCCCAUAUCCCAGAAAAGAAUUCUAAUGAUCACAAAAUGCCACAGUGAGACUGGUUUCACUCUAGAUAGAAAACCUUGAUUGAGUUCUAAUCUAUUUAGAAAGAAAAGCUGUUCACAAACGUCGUUUUUCAUGGCUGCAACUGUACACAAGACCAUGUGUUAUGUAUAACUGCUGCUGCUGCAUUUGAGGGUCUGUUGUGGUGUGGGAAGGACAGUCCUUGCUAAAGGAGUCUGGUGAACGAACUUAUGGUGACAUGAAAGCGGGACACAAUCUAUUGUAGAAAUUAAUAUUCAUGCUUCUGCGUUAUGACUAGAGACGAGACUAAGUCAAUCACAGGUCCUUUCUCCAUCCAAAGGAGUGUCACAUACACACCCACUGACCUCUAUCCUGUUCUGUGUCUUUGUCUCUUCUACUAUAUUAGAAGCUCAACCUUUGACACAACUCCUGUUCAAACUUUUGAAAACCCUCCAUUCCAUUCUCAAAUGCCUAGGCUCUCUGUUUCUGCCAGAGAAUCCAAGGACAGCCAGGUAUGCCUUCCUCUUGAAGAAAAGAGGCCACUGUUGCUCGGCUGGCUUAGUUGAUCUGCUUGCUUAUGUGUUUGGCAGUUUGCACAUCAGACUUACCAACCUUUCAACUUCUAAGACCCUCUGAGAGUCUCAUUUCAUGAAGAGACUAGACUUACAUUUAUUGAUCUUCAGAAUAACAAUUUGUUUUGUCGUUUUAAAAUAUGAAGCAGGUUUACAGACAUGGACAAAGCUUCUUUAUGUCCUUAUCUUUAUUUCAACAAUUUUCUACAAUAGCUAAGAGAAUACAGCGCUAAUGACAGAUACGCACUAAGUACAACACCAGACAGCUACAAACUUAGAGCAUAAAAGGUCAUUCUGAUAUUGUUUUGGCUUUCCUUUCAGCAUUAGGUGAUAUCCAGUGAAAAACUCAUGUUUCCAAGGCUUUGUUGAUAUGAGGUGACUUGUUAACCUUCUAGAAGAUUUCCCGUGAGCUCAGUUCCGACCUGGAGUGGCUUGGUAAUGCCACGUUUCUGCUUCCUCACCUAACCACUUUGCAGAGAUUAACUGUGUAGAUCAAGAAGAUUCUUUCUCCAGAUCCAAGGAGGAAAAAGAUAUGAAAACUGCAAUAUCCCAUUCUGCUGUAUUUCACAAUAAAUUAUAAACAGUUAAAAUAAAAACAGUUAAAA
Mesocricetus auratus (golden hamster) is the source of this 2928-nucleotide long non-coding RNA. RefSeq lists it as uncharacterized. Lineage: Eukaryota; Metazoa; Chordata; Mammalia; Rodentia; Cricetidae. The record is from RefSeq and is a predicted model, not a curated record. The transcript is spliced from 3 exons.